This 2906-nucleotide ribosomal RNA is filed under the name Escherichia coli. RNAcentral describes it as "23S ribosomal RNA". It matches the Rfam family "Bacterial large subunit ribosomal RNA". Lineage: Bacteria; Pseudomonadati; Pseudomonadota; Gammaproteobacteria; Enterobacterales; Enterobacteriaceae. The record is from RNAcentral.
GGUUAAGCGACUAAGCGUACACGGUGGAUGCCCUGGCAGUCAGAGGCGAUGAAGGACGUGCUAAUCUGCGAUAAGCGUCGGUAAGGUGAUAUGAACCGUUAUAACCGGCGAUUUCCGAAUGGGGAAACCCAGUGUGAUUCGUCACACUAUCAUUAACUGAAUCCAUAGGUUAAUGAGGCGAACCGGGGGAACUGAAACAUCUAAGUACCCCGAGGAAAAGAAAUCAACCGAGAUUCCCCCAGUAGCGGCGAGCGAACGGGGAGCAGCCCAGAGCCUGAAUCAGUGUGUGUGUUAGUGGAAGCGUCUGGAAAGGCGUGCGAUACAGGGUGACAGCCCCGUACACAAAAAUGCACAUGCUGUGAGCUCGAUGAGUAGGGCGGGACACGUGGUAUCCUGUCUGAAUAUGGGGGGACCAUCCUCCAAGGCUAAAUACUCCUGACUGACCGAUAGUGAACCAGUACCGUGAGGGAAAGGCGAAAAGAACCCCGGCGAGGGGAGUGAAAAAGAACCUGAAACCGUGUACGUACAAGCAGUGGGAGCACAGAGCAAUCUGUGUGACUGCGUACCUUUUGUAUAAUGGGUCAGCGACUUAUAUUCUGUAGCAAGGUUAACCGAAUAGGGGAGCCGAAGGGAAACCGAGUCUUAACUGGGCGUUAAGUUGCAGGGUAUAGACCCGAAACCCGGUGAUCUAGCCAUGGGCAGGUUGAAGGUUGGGUAACACUAACUGGAGGACCGAACCGACUAAUGUUGAAAAAUUAGCGGAUGACUUGUGGCUGGGGGUGAAAGGCCAAUCAAACCGGGAGAUAGCUGGUUCUCCCCGAAAGCUAUUUAGGUAGCGCCUCGUGAAUUCAUCUCCGGGGGUAGAGCACUGUUUCGGCAAGGGGGUCAUCCCGACUUACCAACCCGAUGCAAACUGCGAAUACCGGAGAAUGUUAUCACGGGAGACACACGGCGGGUGCUAACGUCCGUCGUGAAGAGGGAAACAACCCAGACCGCCAGCUAAGGUCCCAAAGUCAUGGUUAAGUGGGAAACGAUGUGGGAAGGCCCAGACAGCCAGGAUGUUGGCUUAGAAGCAGCCAUCAUUUAAAGAAAGCGUAAUAGCUCACUGGUCGAGUCGGCCUGCGCGGAAGAUGUAACGGGGCUAAACCAUGCACCGAAGCUGCGGCAGCGACGCUUAUGCGUUGUUGGGUAGGGGAGCGUUCUGUAAGCCUGCGAAGGUGUGCUGUGAGGCAUGCUGGAGGUAUCAGAAGUGCGAAUGCUGACAUAAGUAACGAUAAAGCGGGUGAAAAGCCCGCUCGCCGGAAGACCAAGGGUUCCUGUCCAACGUUAAUCGGGGCAGGGUGAGUCGACCCCUAAGGCGAGGCCGAAAGGCGUAGUCGAUGGGAAACAGGUUAAUAUUCCUGUACUUGGUGUUACUGCGAAGGGGGGACGGAGAAGGCUAUGUUGGCCGGGCGACGGUUGUCCCGGUUUAAGCGUGUAGGCUGGUUUUCCAGGCAAAUCCGGAAAAUCAAGGCUGAGGCGUGAUGACGAGGCACUACGGUGCUGAAGCAACAAAUGCCCUGCUUCCAGGAAAAGCCUCUAAGCAUCAGGUAACAUCAAAUCGUACCCCAAACCGACACAGGUGGUCAGGUAGAGAAUACCAAGGCGCUUGAGAGAACUCGGGUGAAGGAACUAGGCAAAAUGGUGCCGUAACUUCGGGAGAAGGCACGCUGAUAUGUAGGUGAAGUCCCUCGCGGAUGGAGCUGAAAUCAGUCGAAGAUACCAGCUGGCUGCAACUGUUUAUUAAAAACACAGCACUGUGCAAACACGAAAGUGGACGUAUACGGUGUGACGCCUGCCCGGUGCCGGAAGGUUAAUUGAUGGGGUCAGCGCAAGCGAAGCUCUUGAUCGAAGCCCCGGUAAACGGCGGCCGUAACUAUAACGGUCCUAAGGUAGCGAAAUUCCUUGUCGGGUAAGUUCCGACCUGCACGAAUGGCGUAAUGAUGGCCAGGCUGUCUCCACCCGAGACUCAGUGAAAUUGAACUCGCUGUGAAGAUGCAGUGUACCCGCGGCAAGACGGAAAGACCCCGUGAACCUUUACUAUAGCUUGACACUGAACAUUGAGCCUUGAUGUGUAGGAUAGGUGGGAGGCUUUGAAGUGUGGACGCCAGUCUGCAUGGAGCCGACCUUGAAAUACCACCCUUUAAUGUUUGAUGUUCUAACGUUGACCCGUGAUCCGGGUUGCGGACAGUGUCUGGUGGGUAGUUUGACUGGGGCGGUCUCCUCCUAAAGAGUAACGGAGGAGCACGAAGGUUGGCUAAUCCUGGUCGGACAUCAGGAGGUUAGUGCAAUGGCAUAAGCCAGCUUGACUGCGAGCGUGACGGCGCGAGCAGGUGCGAAAGCAGGUCAUAGUGAUCCGGUGGUUCUGAAUGGAAGGGCCAUCGCUCAACGGAUAAAAGGUACUCCGGGGAUAACAGGCUGAUACCGCCCAAGAGUUCAUAUCGACGGCGGUGUUUGGCACCUCGAUGUCGGCUCAUCACAUCCUGGGGCUGAAGUAGGUCCCAAGGGUAUGGCUGUUCGCCAUUUAAAGUGGUACGCGAGCUGGGUUUAGAACGUCGUGAGACAGUUCGGUCCCUAUCUGCCGUGGGCGCUGGAGAACUGAGGGGGGCUGCUCCUAGUACGAGAGGACCGGAGUGGACGCAUCACUGGUGUUCGGGUUGUCAUGCCAAUGGCACUGCCCGGUAGCUAAAUGCGGAAGAGAUAAGUGCUGAAAGCAUCUAAGCACGAAACUUGCCCCGAGAUGAGUUCUCCCUGACUCCUUGAGAGUCCUGAAGGAACGUUGAAGACGACGACGUUGAUAGGCCGGGUGUGUAAGCGCAGCGAUGCGUUGAGCUAACCGGUACUAAUGAACCGUGAGGCUUAACCUU